Molecule: long non-coding RNA, 484 nt
Organism: Equus quagga
Lineage: Eukaryota; Metazoa; Chordata; Mammalia; Perissodactyla; Equidae
Exons: 3
Source: RefSeq, a predicted model, not a curated record
CCUGGUUCCUGAGCUUAGCUCUCCAGCCAGCCCGAGGAGUCUGUGAGCUUUCUGUUGCUUUCAACGAAGAACCCUGACAAUAAACAGAGACAAGUCAGCAUCAUGGAGAUAGAGAGGAGCUGGGACCUGGACGUGGAUACAUAGGCAGUUGGGCAACAGUGAUUCUGUGAGACAGAUGCUCAGAUGAGAGACCAACGUCCCUGCCUCCAUCCCUGAGUUUUUAUUACUUCCUUUAAGUAACCUUCGCCCCCCAGUUCAACCCUAAACUCAUCAACUCUCCAAGGAGAAGAAUAGGAGUUACUCUAUGAAGCAUUUGUAAGGAAGCCCUGGUGGGGCAGAGAGGCGUGUGGACUUGAGAAGCAGACCCACGUGGAUUCCACCACAGCCUGGUCUCAUACUAGCUGUGUGCGAUCUCAGCCAUUGUAUCUGUCACCAGCUACCGUGUAACAAGCCGCCACAAAACUCAGCGAGUUAAAACAACAAC